This is a long non-coding RNA of Salvia splendens (bonfire salvia), 583 nucleotides long. RefSeq lists it as uncharacterized. Lineage: Eukaryota; Viridiplantae; Streptophyta; Magnoliopsida; Lamiales; Lamiaceae. The transcript has 2 exons. The record is from RefSeq and is a predicted model, not a curated record.
CAUUUAAAAUACACACACAUCCACACACAUCCACACACAUUUAUAUAAACGCACAAACACACAUACACAUACAGAAGGUCUCCCCCUUCUUAUUCUUGGCCUCUGUUUUCCCAUUUCUUUGUAGCCUACGUUACUAAUUCGCCAAGAGAUAUCUCAGCUGCGAUACUCGAAGAAACCAGUUCAGGUUUCAAGACCGGCUUCCGAUUCAGCAACAGUCUCAAGGAAUGGUGCUGGGAGGCGGGGCCUAUUCGACGACAACAACAACAUUCAUCACAACUCCACAAUGGUCCGAGCAGGGGAUGGGUUCGAUCAGUGCAACCACAACCCUAGUGAGAGUUUCCAGCUAAUGUUCAGUUCUCCGUUCAACAUACCAGCUGUCGAUUUUACAUAAUUUCGGGCCAAGGGAUAGCCUGGCAAAGCAGGAUAUUGCAAUGUGGUACUAAAGGUAGUCUUGAUACAUUCUUUUAAAAAAAAUUCACCUGUGUUUACUUAUUACGUCUUGUGUUGUCUUUUUUGUUUAUGAUGUUAGAGUUUGUAGAUGUUGUGUAAUAAUCAAAGUGGGGAUUGUGGUAUUGUAUUGUCA